Molecule: RNase P RNA, 409 nt
Filed under: Azospirillum sp. B510
Lineage: Bacteria; Pseudomonadati; Pseudomonadota; Alphaproteobacteria; Rhodospirillales; Azospirillaceae
Description: RNase P RNA subunit
Rfam family: Bacterial RNase P class A
About the family: Ribonuclease P (RNase P) is a ubiquitous endoribonuclease, found in archaea, bacteria and eukarya as well as chloroplasts and mitochondria. Its best characterised activity is the generation of mature 5'-ends of tRNAs by cleaving the 5'-leader elements of precursor-tRNAs.
Source: RNAcentral
GACCGCGCCAGAUGGCCGGAUGGCCGCCUUCGGUUUCGGCCGGGGGAGGAAAGUCCGGGCUCCACGGAAACACGGUGCCGGCUAACGGCCGGCGGGGGCGACCCUAGGGACAGUGCCACAGAAAGCAAACCGCCGGCGUUUCGACGCAGGUAAGGGUGAAAGGGUGCGGUAAGAGCGCACCGCGGACCCGGCAACGGGGACGGCACGGUAAACCCCACCGGGAGCAAGACCGAAUAGGAGCGGCCCGACCACCAUCCCCGCAACGGGAUGGGCGUGGGUCAAGCGCGUUUCCGCGCCGCCGCUCGGGUUGGUCGCGCGAGGCGUCCGGGCAACCGGCGUCCCAGACGAAUGGCCAUCGCCCGCCCUUCGGGGCGGGAUACAGAACCCGGCUUACAGGCCAUCUGGCGCU